AGAGUUUGAUCCUGGUUUAUUGAUAAUAUUGGCGGCGUGGAUUAGGCAUGCAAGUCGAACGGGAAAGCUCCCUUCGGGGAGUGAGUAUAGUGGCGAACGGGUGAGUAACGCGUGGGAAACCUGCCCUUCAGCGGGGGAUAACAGGCCUAACGGCCUGCUAAUACCGCAUACGUCCCCUGAAUCGCAUGGUUCAGGGAAGAAAGGUGGCCUCUCUUUGAAGCUGCUACUGAAGGAUGGUCCCGCGUCCCAUUAGCUUGUUGGUAGGGUAACGGCCUACCAAGGCGACGAUGGGUAGCCGGCCUGAGAGGGUGUCCGGCCACACUGGGACUGAGAUACGGCCCAGACUCCUACGGGAGGCAGCAGUCGAGAAGCUUCGGCAAUGGGCAAAGCCUGACCGAGCGACGCCGCGUGAGUGAAUGAAGGCCCUAUGGGUUGUAAAGCUCUGUCAGAUUGGGAAGAAAACCUCGCGGUUAAUACCCGCGAGGCUUGACGGUACCAUCAGAGGAAGCACCGGCUAACUCCGUGCCAGCAGCCGCGGUAAUACGGAGGGUGCAAGCGUUGUUCGGAUUCACUGGGUAUAAAGGGUGCGCAGGCGGCCUGAUAAGUCAGGGGUGAAAUAUGUCGGCUUAACCCCGGACUUGCAAAAGAUACUGGCAGACUAGAGAGUGGUAGAGGCAGGCGGAAUUCCUGGUGUAGCGGUGAAAUGCGUAAAUAUCAGGAGGAACACUAAUGGUGAAGGCAGUUAAUUGGCCCGGUACUGACGCUCAGGCACGAAAGCUAGGGGAGCGAACAGGAUUAGAUACCCUGGUAGUCCUAGCCGUAAACGAUGGGCACUAGGUGUUGGAGGAGUCUACCCCUUCAGUGCCGCAGCUAAUGCAUUAAGUGCCCCACCUGGGGAGUACGAUCGCAAGGUUGAAACUCAAAGGAAUUGACGGGGGCCCGCACAAGCGGUGGAGCAUGUGGUUUAAUUCGAUGCAAUGUGAAGAAUUUUACCUGGACUUGACAUGCAGGGGACAGGUGCAGAAAUGUACCCUUCUUCGGACCCCUGUGCAGGUGCUGCAUGGCUGUCGUCAGCUCGUGUCGUGAAAUGUUGGGUUAAGUCCCGCAACGAGCGCAACCCCUGUCUUCAGUUGCCAUCAGUUUGGUUGGGGACUCUGGAGAGACUGCCGGUGAUAAACCGGAGGAAGGUGGGGACGACGUCAAGUCAUCAUGGCCCUUACGUCCAGGGCUACACACGAGCUACAAUGGUCGGUACAAUGGGCUGCGAUACCGUGAGGUGGUGCGAAUCCCAAAAAGCCGGCCUCAGUUCGGAUUGAAGUCUGUAAUUCGACUUCAUGAAGCCGGAAUCGCUAGUAAUCGCGUAUCAGAACGACGCGGUGAAUACGUUCCCGGGCCUUGUACACACCGCCCGUCAAGUCAACCGAGUUGGCUGCACCCCAAGUCGCUGAGCUAACCCGUAAGGGAGGCAGGUGCCCAAGGUGUGGUUGGCGAGGGGGACUAAGUCGAAAUAAGGUA
Molecule: ribosomal RNA, 1515 nt
Filed under: metagenome
Description: bacterial SSU rRNA
Rfam family: Bacterial small subunit ribosomal RNA
Source: RNAcentral